This 468-nucleotide ribosomal RNA is filed under the name uncultured bacterium. Its description in RNAcentral is "partial 16S ribosomal RNA". It matches the Rfam family "Bacterial small subunit ribosomal RNA", at positions 28 to 507 of the family's 1533-position model. The record is from RNAcentral.
GACGAACGCUGGCGGCGUGCUUAACACAUGCAAGUCGAACGGAAAGGCCCUGCUUUUGUGGGGUGCUCGAGUGGCGAACGGGUGAGUAACACGUGAGUAACCUGCCCUUGACUUUGGGAUAACUUCAGGAAACUGGGGCUAAUACCGGAUAGGAGCUCCUGCUGCAUGGUGGGGGUUGGAAAGUUUCGGCGGUUGGGGAUGGACUCGCGGCUUAUCAGCUUGUUGGUGGGGUAGUGGCUUACCAAGGCUUUGACGGGUAGACGGCCUGAGAGGGUGACCGGCCACAUUGGGCCUGCGAUACGGCCCAGACUCCUACGGGAGGCAGCAGUGGGGAAUAUUGCACAAUGGGCGGAAGCCUGAUGCAGCAACGCCGCGUGCGGGAUGACGGCCUUCGGGUUGUAAACCGCUUUCGCCUGUGACGAAGCGUGAGUGACGGUAAUGGGUAAAGAAGCACCGGCUAACUACGUG